GAAUAAUAAUUGUCAAAUGGAUAUAAAUAAAAGAGAUGGUGUAAAAUAAUAUCUUUCCAAACCACAAUUAUUAGCACUCUCUCACAGACAAUACUCAACAUAAAACAAAUGAAAAAAAAAGGGAAAAGAACAAAAACAAAACCAUACAAAAAGGGCUUCUCAAAGCAACAAAUACAACAUCUAAUAAUAUACAGAUCUAGAUACUGAGCUUCUCAGUGUUGGAAGUGGUUGUCAUUGUAGCUUAAUAGCUCUUCUCUUACCUUCACUUCAUGACUUGUUUUUUUUUUCCACAAAUGAUAAAGCCCUAAAGAUAUAACAUAAUAAACGCAUUAUCACCAAAGUGAAACAUAUCAAAAUGCAUAGAAGUUUUGAGUGGACUUAUGUAUAAUUUGGUUACUUCACAUUUUUAAUGCAUCAUAGAAUAUCCUUAAUUAAAUUAUAUUUCUAUCCUUAUUUUUUUAAAAAGUGUUUGUCAUUCAAAUUUAAAUGUUCAUUCAUAGUAGACUAUCCGCGAAAUAAUGUUUCUACUCCUAGUUCUACUCUUUUUUUUUCCAAUUUUUUGUAAUUAAAAUAUAAAUAUUAAAAACUAAACCCAAAUAUAAUUGGUGGUCUUAAAAAAAAAUGUUGUAGAAAUGGAAAACGUUUCAUAUUUUUUGAGACAUGUAACGCGAAUGAAAUGAGAAAAUUUAUGAUUUAUAAAAAAGAGAUGAUAAGUUUAAAGAAAUAUUUGAACUGCACGGUUUCACUCACCAGUAUAUGUAUGAGCUCAACAAGAGGAAUUGAUUUUGAUGAGCACCAUGACAUAAAAUUGAUCUCUCAUAUUAUAAAGAAACUUGAAGUAAGCUUGCCUCCAUUUUCUAUUAAAGAAAAUGGCACAAGAGACUCCCAAAAAGCCAGUGACAAAUCCAGACUCUAUUCCAAUAUAAAACCAUGACAAAAAUUCAUCUUUAUCCUCAUCUUCAUCUAUUGGCUUUGAGUCUUUAUGUUCACCAUCCCGCCAACAGAUUUUGGUAAGUGGAGGUCCACAAAGAUUAGCAUUGCCAAUAUAGUUCACUGCAUCAAACCCUUGAAGUUGUGUCCCAGAUGGAAUUUUGCCACUGAAAUUGUUAAAUGAUAGGUUUAAGACUCCGAGAAAGGACAAAUUGGCCAAGCCUUGAGGAAUUUCACCCCAAAAUUGGUUUGCUGAAAGAUCAAAGGACUCCAAACUUCUCAUGUUGCCAAUCUCAUAUGGUAUUUUCCCCAUUAAUUUAUUGUGAGACAAGUUCAAAGAGCACAAUCCAACGAGGCUGAACAUUUGGGCUGGGAUUGUUCCGAACAAAUUGUUACUUGACAUGUCAAUUAAGGUCAUAAAAUGCAAGUUUGUACCAUAUUCUGAUACUCGACCUUUUGUAACCAGCUUAAGAUUGUCGUCGUAGAAGUAUGUGAGAGAACUAGAAAAAGGAAAGGAAAAACAAAGGCUGCUCUGAAGCAUUGUUGAAAACUAAAGAUGUUAUAUUAUGUAGGCAUGUUGGUAUCUGUCCUGAGAUUAUGUUGUCAGCAAUAUCCAAAAUAAUGAGGGAAGAUAUUUGACAAAUCUGUGUUGGGAUGUUACCACUAAAAUUAUUGGACCUUAGCUGGAGAGCCCUAGCAUCAUGUGGUAUCCAGUGUGGUAUAUUUCCUGAAAAGUUAUUUUCACGCACAUUAAAGAUCAAAAGAGAGUGACAAUUUUGUAGCGAGGUAGGAAUCGUGCCAUAGAGAUUAUUCUCAUGCAAAUGUAGUGAGGCAAGACUAAAUAAGGAGCCCAUUGACGAUGGUAUCUUGCUAGUCAGAUUAUUGCUUCCCAAGUUAACAUGAAUCAAUGAUUUCCAAUUCUUCCAACAAUUUGUAAGCUCUCCAGAUAAAUGAUUACGAGAGAUGUCUAAGAAGAUCAAACUGCCUUUUCCAUUCAGCAUCUUAUGAUCACACAAGAGAGGAAAAAUGGUUCCAGAUAAUAAGUUGUUCGAUGCAUCGAAAAUCGCCACAUUUUGCUUAUAGAUUAUGUUGAAUUUGAUUAAGUUUUGAUCCAAAAUUUAAAAAGUGAAAAUCUUAGAAAAAUCAAUUGAAUGAACUUGAGAGUCAACCUGUUUCUUUAAUGUUUUUCAAUUGUCUAUUUUUUUUACACAACAAUCUCAACCCCAUUUUACUUUAUUGUUAUUUUUUAACCAGUUUAAUUGCAAAUCCGUUUUUUAUAUUAUCUUAAUUGGAUUUAUCAUUAGAUUCGUUAGGAGACAACUCAAGGUCAUCUUAACUUAUCUAUAAUAUCAUUUGAUUGGUGUUAGACGGUCUACGUUAGAAUCAUUUUAAUUUGUCUGUUAAAUGAUAAAUAUCAAUUAUAUAUUUGUUAUGAUACCUUUAUGGGUGUGUAGCCUUUUACAUGUAUGAUUCCAAGGGUUGCGAUAUUGAGUAAUGAAACUAUUGAAUAUAUGAGAUUCUUUUACUUCACUAAUAAGUAAGAUAACGGUGCACAGAGAACAAAAUGAAGAAAGAAAAGAAUGAUUUUUUUAUUAUUCACCUCUCUGCAUCUAAUGAUGCCAAACAUUAUAAUACAAAGAGAAAACAUAAAUUGUAUUGGGCUUGAUAAAGACAGAUAAGACUCAAACUAUGUAAGACCCAAAAAUACAAAAACACCAAAACAGUGGAAAGGUUUUAUUUACUGGUAGAAUCGGGCAACUUGAUAAACCUCAACAGGGAAGGAAUUUGUUUUGAUGACUAUCGUGACAUAAAAUCGAUCUCUCAAGUCGGAAAGAAAUUUGAAGUAUGCGUGUCUCCAUUUUUCUAUUGAAGAAAAUAGCACAACAAAUUCCUAAGAAGCUCGUCACAAAUCCAUAUUUUAUUCCAAUAAAAAAUCAUGACACAAAUUCAAAUUUAUGUUCAUCUUCAUGUGUUGGCAUUAUGUCUUUAGGCUUCACAUCUUGCGAGCAAUUUUUUGUAAGUGGAGGUCCCCAAAGAUCACAGUUGCCUAUAUAGCUGACUAUAUUAAACCCCUGCAUUUAUGUGCUUGAUGGUAUUUGACCUGUCAAAUUGUUGAAGGAUAGGUUUAAGUAACUAAAAAAGGAUAAACUAGAAAAAUCUUGAUGAAUUUUACCCCAAAAAUUGUUAACUAAAAAAUCCAAGGACUCCAAGUUUUUCAUGUUUCCAAUUUCAUUUGGUGUUUUCCCCAUUAAACUAUUGUGGGACAAACUCAAGGAGAACAAUUCAGUAAGGCUAAACAUUUGAGAGGAGAAAUUAGGUAUAGUGUAAUACUAUUGUUUAAAUGUUUUUUUAGGCUAAUGGUAAGAUUCUUCAUCCAAAAUGGUAAGAUUCACUACUAAAACUUUGUUAUUCACAUACCGAUUAUUACAUAUGGAUUUUACAUACGAAGUUGAAUUCGUAUGUAAAGUGAUGUUACAUAAAGAUUUUUACAUACGAAUUUGGAUCCAUAUAUAAAGUGAGCAUUACAUACGGAUUUAGAUCCAUAUGUAAAGUCAGCGUUACAUACGAAUUUUUACAUACGGAUCUGGAUCCGUAUAUAAAGUAAGCGUUACAUACAAAUUUUUACAUACGGAUCCAGAUUCGUAUGUAAAGUAAGCAUUACAUACGGAUUUUUACAUACGAAUAUAGGAAAUUGAAAUAAUUUUAUGAUUUAUUACGUUGUUAGAAUUAAAUUAGAAAAGUAAUUUGAGUUUAAUAUUUCUUUUAAUUUAAUUAAAAAAAAUUAUAAUAUUGAUAUUAAUGAUAAUAUUAAUAUUAAUAUUUUUAUUAAUAUUAAUAAUUUAAUAAUAUUAUUAGUAAUUAUAAUAUUAAUAUUUAAAAUAAUAAUAAUAAUAUUAUUAUUAUUUAUUAUAUUAAUAAUAUUUAAAAUAUUAAUAAUAUCAAUAAUAUUUAUAAUAUUUAUAACAUUUAAUAAUAUUAACAAUACUUAAUAAUAUUAAUCAUAUUUAAUAAUAUUAUUAAUAUUAAUAAUGUUGAUAAUGUUUAUAAUAUUAAUAAUAUUUAAUAGUAUUAAUAAUAUUAAUAUUUAUAAUAUUUAUAAUAUUAAUAAUGUUAACAAUAUUAAUAAUAUUAACAAUAUUAACAAUAGUUAAUAAUAUUAUAUUAAUUAUAUAAAUGAUAUUAAUAAUAAUAAGUAUAAAAUCAUAAUAUGACAAGAAUUUGUGUUAAUGGUUAAAGCUUCUUUGGUUAUUGAAUCGAGUCUUGUCUACUGUUGUUUGUGUAUAACAUAAAUAAUAAUUAUGAUAACAAAUAUAAUAAUUGUAAUUAAUAAUAAUAAAAAUAAACAUAAAUAAUAAUUAUAGAUAAUAAUCAGAUAUAAUUAAAAAAAUUAAAAAUAAAAUCUAGUAUAUUACAUAAAAAAAAAAUCUGUAUGCCCUAAAGAUGAAACAUAAUAAACGCAUUAUCACCAAAGUGAAACAGAUCAAAAUGCAUAGAAGCUUUGAGUGAACUUAUCUAUAAUAUUUGUUAUUUCACAUUUUUAAUGCAUCAUAGAAUAUCUUUAAUUAAAUUAUAUUUCUAUCCUUAUUUUUUAAAAAGUGUUUGUCAUUAAAAUUUAAAUGUUUAUUCAUAGUAGAAUAUCCACGAAAUAAUGUUUCUACUCCUAGUUCUACUCUUUUUUUCGCAAUUUAUUGUAAUUAAAAUACAAAUAUUAAAAGCUAAACCCAAAUGUAAUUUGGUGGUUCUAAAAUGAAAAUGUUGUAAAAAUGAAAAAUGUUUCAUCAUGAGACAUGUAACAAGAAUAAAAUGAGAAAAUUUAUGAUUUAUAACAAAGAGAUGGUGAAGUUUAAAGAAAUAUUUGAACUGCAUGGUUUCACUCACCAAUAUAUGUUUGAGCUCAACGAGAGGAACUCAUUUUGAUGAGCACCAUGACAUAAAGUCAAUCUCUCAUAUUAUAAAGAAACUUGAAGUAAGCUUGCCUCCAUUUUCUAUUAAAGAAAAGGGCACAAGAGACUCCCAAAAAGCCAAUGACGAAUCCAGACUCUAGUCCAAUAUAAAACCAUGACAAAAAUUCAUCUUUAUCCUCAUUUUCAUCUAUUGGCUUUGAGUCUUUAUGUUCACCAUCCUGCCAGCAGAUUUUGGUAAGUGGAGGUCCACAAAGAUUAGGAUUGCUAAUAUAGCUCACUACAUCAAACCCCUGAAGUUGUGUCCUAAAUGAAAUUUUGCCACUGAAAUUGUUAAAUGAUAGGUUUAAGACUCCGAGAAAGGACAACUUGGCCAAGCCUUGAGGAAUUUCACCCCAAAAUUGGUUUGCUGAAAGAUCAAGGGACUCCAAGCGUCUCAUGUUCCCAAUCUCAUAUGGUAUUUUCCCCAUUAAUUUAUUGUGAGACAAGUUCAAAGAGCACAAUCCAACGAGGCUGAACAUUUGGGGAGGCACUGUUCCGAACAAAUUGUUACUUGACAUGUCAAUUAAGGUCAUAAAGUGCGAGUUUGUAUCGUAUUCUGAUACUCGACCUUUUGUAACUAGCUCAAGA
RNAcentral lists this long non-coding RNA (5462 nucleotides) under Phaseolus vulgaris (common bean). Its description in RNAcentral is "long non-coding RNA (PVUL_LNC005335)". Lineage: Eukaryota; Viridiplantae; Streptophyta; Magnoliopsida; Fabales; Fabaceae. The record is from RNAcentral.